This 272-nucleotide ribosomal RNA is filed under the name uncultured Thermus sp. RNAcentral's name for it is "partial 16S ribosomal RNA". It matches the Rfam family "Bacterial small subunit ribosomal RNA", at positions 1110 to 1374 of the family's 1533-position model. Lineage: Bacteria; Thermotogati; Deinococcota; Deinococci; Thermales; Thermaceae. The record is from RNAcentral.
GUUAGUGCCAGCGGUUCGGCCGGGCACUCUAACGGGACUGCCCGCGAAAGCGGGAGGAAGGAGGGGACGACGUCUGGUCAGCAUGGCCCUUACGGCCUGGGCGACACACGUGCUACAAUGCCCACUACAAAGCGAUGCCACCCGGCAACGGGGAGCUAAUCGCAAAAAGGUGGGCCCAGUUCGGAUUGGGGUCUGCAACCCGACCCCAUGAAGCCGGAAUCGCUAGUAAUCGCGGAUCAGCCAUGCCCGCGGUCCGAAUACGUUCCGGCCUU